Molecule: unclassified non-coding RNA, 373 nt
Filed under: uncultured Actinomycetes bacterium
Lineage: Bacteria; Bacillati; Actinomycetota; Actinomycetes
Description: uncultured actinobacterium contains 16S-23S intergenic spacer region
Source: RNAcentral
UCCGGUUUGGCACCGGCAGUCUCCCCAGAGUUCCCGGCUUUACCCGCUGGCAACUGAGGACAGGGGUUGCGCUCGUUGCGCCACUUAAGGCAACACCUCACGGCACGAGCUGACGACAGCCAUGCACCACCUGUGCGGGCUCCGUAGAGCACCGUGUUUCCACGGCUUCACCCCGCAUGUCAAGCCCAGGUAAGGUUCUUCGCGUUGCGUCGAAUUAAGCCACAUGCUCCGCCGCUUGUGCGGGCCCCCGUCAAUUCCUUUGAGUUUCAACCUUGCGGUCGUACUCCCCAGGCGGGGUGCUUAAGGCGUUAGCUGCGCCACCGAAGAGCAAGCUCCCCGACGGCUAGCACCCAUCGUUUACAGCGUGGACUAC